UACGGAGGACCCGAGCGUUAUCCGGAUUCAUUGGGUUUAAAGGGUGCGUAGGCGGAACGGUAAGUCAGUGGUGAAAUCCUGCAGCUUAACUGCAGAACUGCCAUUGAUACUGCCGAUCUUGAGUAUAGUUGAUGUGGGCGGAAUGUGCCAUGUAGCGGUGAAAUGCUUAGAUAUGGCACAGAACACCUAUUGCGAAGGCAGCUCACAAAACUAUUACUGACGCUGAGGCACGAAAGCGUGGGUAGCAAACAGG
RNAcentral lists this ribosomal RNA (253 nucleotides) under uncultured bacterium. RNAcentral's name for it is "partial 16S ribosomal RNA". It matches the Rfam family "Bacterial small subunit ribosomal RNA", at positions 524 to 776 of the family's 1533-position model. The record is from RNAcentral.